Molecule: non-coding RNA, 26 nt
Filed under: Mus musculus (house mouse)
Lineage: Eukaryota; Metazoa; Chordata; Mammalia; Rodentia; Muridae
Source: RNAcentral
UNGAGAGAGAACUCAAGACUUGGGUG